UUAUAUAUUCUUUGAUUAGGUUUGAAAUAUUACGUGAAAUCAACAUCUGGUUUGAUCUAUAUUAUUAUUUCUCUAAUGUAUAGUAGAUUAUCUGUUAUAUUAAGUGUUCCAUAAUUUUAGUAGUACUAAAAUGUGAUCAAUGAGUGUCUUAGAUUGAUAUGCAAUAGUAUUUUGUGUAAAUAAAAUGUAGUAAUAAUAUUAAUUUCAAACAAUUUUCAUGGUUUAAUAAAAUACAUAUUUUGUCGAUAAAUCUUUUUAUUUUAUUUUAUGCAUUUCAUCAAUUAGAUAAUAUACUUCUUUGUUUCAAAAUAAAAAUAUAAUAUACUUCUAUAAAUUGAGAUUUGUCAAAAAAAAAAAGAUAAUAUACUUCUAUAAAUUGAGAUUUGUCAAAAAAAAAGAAGAUAAUAUACUUCUAUAUAAACAAAGUUGCAUAUACAUGUCUUUAUUUUCAAAAGAUUUUAUUGUGUAUAUCAUAUUUUUUUCUUUAUAAGUGAUAUUUUACUUAAAUUGUUUUAGAAUUUCCUAUAACAGGUAAUUAUGAAACACCUACAUUUAUGUAGAGAGAGUAAUAACAAUAAAUAGUUCUAUUCGGGUAGCUAAAUUACAUCACAUUCAUUUCUAAUAAAUCAAUCCACAACAAAAAUAUCAAAUACCAAAGAUAUGAAGAGUUUCUUUGGAGUUGUGGUGUUUCACUUCUUAUUUCUUACGUUAUCGUUAGCAAUUCGCGAAAUUGAAGUGAAGAGAUUGGUUCCAACUGGUCCAAACAAUGAAACAUCUCCAGUUUCUCCACCAGAUUCAAUAGUGAAUUUUAGAAUUAAGAGACUGGUUCAAAGCGGCUCCAACAAUGAAACGUCUUCACAUUCCAUAGUGAAUUUCAGAGCUAAGAGAUUGGUUCCAAGCGGCCCAAACAAUGAAACGUCUUCGCCUUUUCCACCGCAUUCCAAAAGCUUUUAAAAAUCAACUAAAGAAUCUUUGGUUUAAAAUGGUUAAAUGAAACUAUCAACUAUGUUCAUCCGAGAAGAAAAUAAUGUUAUUUCUUGUUUGCUCUGCGUCACAAGUUGAACUAUGCUAAUAGGCUAAUAGCCA
Long non-coding RNA from Brassica rapa (field mustard), 1086 nucleotides. RefSeq lists it as uncharacterized. NCBI's taxonomy places the organism in Eukaryota, Viridiplantae, Streptophyta, Magnoliopsida, Brassicales, Brassicaceae. The record is from RefSeq and is a predicted model, not a curated record.